This 288-nucleotide long non-coding RNA is filed under the name Anas platyrhynchos platyrhynchos (common mallard). RNAcentral describes it as "lncRNA (ENSAPLG00000029452.1)". The record is from RNAcentral. Lineage: Eukaryota; Metazoa; Chordata; Aves; Anseriformes; Anatidae.
AUGGAAAUGACGAUCAACCACUCUGGGGCAUGUGUGGUCUCUCUCUGCUUCUUCAUCUCAUGGAAACAUGUUUCUAUGUGCAUGGCUACUCGUCCAGAAAUACCCCAUCGUGGAUCCCCACCAUCUGUGCCCUUUGCCAUCAGACCAGUGGCUGCCUCCUCCUGCCACCCCAGCCCAGCAGCACCAGCAGCACGGCAGGGACACAGCUUUGAGCCCAGGGACCACUGCAGGCAUUGCUGGACCAGCACAAGAGAAAACCAAAGAGCUUGUGCAGUUUGGGAGAGGUAA